CCUACGGGAGGCAGCAGUGAGGAAUAUUGGACAAUGGAGGCAACUCUGAUCCAGCCAUGCCGCGUGCAGGAUGACGGCCCUAUGGGUUGUAAACUGCUUUUAUGUAGGAAGAAACACUCUCACGUGUGAGAGCUUGACGGUACUACAAGAAUAAGGACCGGCUAACUCCGUGCCAGCAGCCGCGGUAAU
This 189-nucleotide ribosomal RNA is filed under the name uncultured marine bacterium. RNAcentral describes it as "partial 16S ribosomal RNA". It matches the Rfam family "Bacterial small subunit ribosomal RNA", at positions 338 to 524 of the family's 1533-position model. The record is from RNAcentral. RNAcentral also lists the same sequence under 2 other names.